UCCGCUCGACUUGCUGGCGUCUCCUGGUCUCCAGCCGCCGGUGCCACACUGCCACCUCUCUUGUAGUACGCUCUGACACCUUCUGCCGUGAGUACACCAAUAUCCACCUCGAGCGCUGCCUGCCUGCUGCCUCCCAUGUCCCAGAUGCACCGAUGCGCUUCUCAGAGUUUCUGAAACAAAUCUUGUUAACCCUCUUUAUUUCGGUUUCCAGAGAAUGGGGAGAGAGAACUGGAGGCGAUGAUAGGCUUGUGGCAUUGUCGCCGUCGCUUGAGUCGCUGGAGGUUCCGAAUAUUUGGAUUCCUGCUGACUAUUGGGUAAUUCAACCACCGAAUCUCCAGAGAUUCACUAUUGUUUCAGCCUUUCAGGUUAUUAUCGGUGGCAAAUAUCUCGGACGGAGCUCGUCUCUCCAAUUCGGGGAAUUCAGUACUGAAGAGACAUUGGAGGCAAUUUCGUCCGACGUUUGGCCCAAGUCAGGUUGCUCGAGUUUCAUAUGCUAGUAGCCUAGUAAAUUUUACAUCACAGGCUUCAAAUUCAUCUUACCUGCUUAUCAUUGGUAAGCCGUGAAAAUUCUGUAGUUUUUAACUGUAUUGGUUACAUUAGCCCACGAAACCUUUAGUGCCGUGUCUGUGUGUGAGUUUACUAGGUCAACUCCUAUGAUUGAUGUGUAGGUAGUUGUAGCUUGAUGUUAGGUGCAAGAUACAAAGUUACACUAUUGUUGUUUUCACAGUUCAAUUGGAUAUACCAAUCUCAGUUCAAUUCAGGUAUGAAAACUUCCCCAUUAAAGUUCACAAUUACAAUUGAACUAUGAAAAAAAAUCAUAAUCAAAUUUAUUCAUUUGGAUGUCUGUUGUAUUUUAUAAAUAACACAUACAUCAUUGCGACUGCUAGUAUUUACUUGAGGUUCUAGUCUUCUAGACUGUCUACGGUCAAGGUGAAGAAAAGGCACAUAACAUAAAUAUAAAUAUUCCUCAAUUAUCUAGAUGACAAUUAGAGUUGCAUGAAAUGUGUUGUGUUGAGAAUCGACAUGUUACUAGGUUUUAGUUUUUUUUUUUCCUUUUUAGGUCACACAAGAAAUUGCAUUUCUAGUCAAGUUAUUACUGGCUAGUUUACACAAAAAAAGCCCCCUUGAGCACAUGGCCGCAUGCAGAUUAAACCAGCCUUGCUAACAUAGCUGCUGCAACUCAAGAAGGGCUGCAGGAAUGGAUGAUCAUGAGCCUCGCCCAAACAUCUUUAUGAGGAUGACCUCCUUCCUGUUUCAGCAGUACUAUCUUUUUCACCUGCAGCUGAUUUUUCUCCAUCAUUUUCUUGCCUUCAAUUUUAUGUUCGUGAUGGAUAUUAAGACAAACCCUUGAUCAUGAGAUUUAGAAGAUCUUAAUUAGGCUGAGAGCCUUUUAUCCUCACUUUUUAUUUUUAUUUUCCUGUCUUGACCUGUAGUUUGUGUGCUUCUUAACACCUUGGAGCCUUGAACCUUGAGCGGAAAGACAUGGUCGUGAUAAUGGAAUGUUGGCACAGGUGGACGUGUGGAUUCCAGUUCAUCAUUGAUUGCAUUGCGGUACAUAGAUUCAAAUUUAGCGAUUCCUUUGGAUGUGGUUGGUGUUUCCUUCAGUUUGGGUGUCUAAUUGCAGUUCAAAGUAGUAGAGACUAGAGAGUUGUGACCCUGCCACACUUGCUGUUGGGAAUGUUAAAAUAAAUUGGUGCAGUCUAUAAUUAUGUUGAACUCUCAUGUGCUUUAUAUACCAGAAUCCUGUGUAAUUAAUAACUACGGUGUUCAGGUUUAUGAAAGAUUUUCUAUUUCAUACAAGUAUAAUCUGGAGCAUGAUUUUCUCCAUUUUGGUAUUUCUAUGUAUUUUCCUCAAAUACACAUCCUUUGCUCAUAUUGAGCAUAACACUUAUGAAUAUUAAUUUGGUAACAAAAUGGUCUCUGCCCACAUGGUUCAGUUUGAGGGAUCAGACAUUACAUGUGAUACAUCAGUACAUGUAAUUUCAGUCAAUCAACAUUUCAAUCACCAAAGUGGCAUUCUUUCUUGUUUGAGAACCUAAAGAUGUUAGUCUUAUCUGUUGAUUUUUGUAGAUAGACAUCCAACAUUUAUCAUCAACCAGUUUACUUGGGUGCACCUAUUCUUGAAUCAACUUAAACUUGGGUAAUGUCGACCGCCAGUAAGUGCAUAUUUCAGUACUUAUUCAAAUGAUUCCAUGUGUAUUUUUUUUAACAGGGUUGGAGUUAUGGUAGUCCAGAAGUCUAGCAAAUUUGCCAGUGCAGAACAGCUGUUACUAGAAGCAAGUAAGUUCAUCUUUGAAGGAGGAUGCUAAUUGGAGCAACCCGAGAGAGAGACGAGCAGCGGAAAUUCAGCAAUGUUCCAAGAGCAUGAGUGCAUGACGUAUACAGUAUACUAGUAGGAAUCAUUCAGCUUAUCAUGCAGGUUCAGUGUUACAACUAACUUAUAAAAAAUGCAGCUUGAUGUGGUUUCUACAAGCUAUCAUGCUUACCAGUCUGAAGAAUCAUGGACAUCCAAUGGAUGAGCAGGUACGUAUGAAAUUAUCCAAAUUUAUCAAUGCUCUGAUUCUGCAUCACAAUAUCUUUCACAAAACUCGAUUUCAUGUGGCACUUUGGAUGCCGUCAUUGAUUAUUUGCCUAUUAACAAAAAAAAGAUAUGGGAAAUAUAUCUGUAUUGCACAGCACCACACUGUCAUCUCAAAAUGGAGCCUUGUAUUGACCCCAGCGCAUUGUAAGUCCCAAACGGAGCCCAACACAUGUGAGUUGUAGUUGAGAUGUCAAGGUACUAACCAUGCACCAAAAGAGCAAUUCUGUACAAAUCCACAUCCUGAAGGAAUGAUUGCGGGAGUACCCAUGCAAAUAAGUCUCAGGGGGGUAUGAAAGAAAGCUAAGCCUAGUGAAACUGACAUUUCCUGACCAAUUAUUGUGCUCUAUCUCAAUUCAGCCUUCUAUCACAAGUGGUCUUUUCAGGGGAAUUAUUGGUGGACUUGCUCGAUUGGGAGUGGCCCCUUCUAGUCAAAUUUCCAUUAUAUGUUUCUCUACCAAAAAAAAAUCCUGAAUCUGCUUAAAUUCUUUUGCAAGUAGUAAUACUUCGCAUCCAUCUGUACUGCAUCCAAACUAAUCCAUUUCUCAGGAUGCUAGUGUUGUACCAUUGGUGUACCAAUGGAAUUUCAGCACGUGCUUUCCGGGAAAUGCCAAAGUGCAUGGAGGUGCGUGAUUGCGAUAACUAUUUUUAGAUGUUCAACAUGUUAUAGCAGCAAAUAACUCGGGUGGCACCGUGGCAGAAUGAUACGGAGUAAAAGCUUAACGCCUCUUAUUCUAAAGGGUGUUCAGUUGAAAUGUUUGUUGUUCAAAGAUAGCAGUAUGGUGUAAAAGACACUGCAGACAAUCUUAUUUCUCUCUAUAUUCACGGUGAAAUCUUUUCUGCCUGA
Long non-coding RNA from Brachypodium distachyon (stiff brome), 3425 nucleotides. RefSeq lists it as uncharacterized. NCBI's taxonomy places the organism in Eukaryota, Viridiplantae, Streptophyta, Magnoliopsida, Poales, Poaceae. The record is from RefSeq and is a predicted model, not a curated record. The transcript is spliced from 2 exons.